UGCGAUGAUGAUGAGUUUAUAUAUAAAAUCUCGUUAAUCUGAUAUAUUAACAUGAGGAUAUUUCACUCAUCCAUUCAUAAUAUUCUGAGC
Small nucleolar RNA from Quercus robur (English oak), 90 nucleotides. RefSeq annotates it as small nucleolar RNA U30. The record is from RefSeq and is a predicted model, not a curated record. NCBI's taxonomy places the organism in Eukaryota, Viridiplantae, Streptophyta, Magnoliopsida, Fagales, Fagaceae. The transcript has a single exon.